RNAcentral lists this ribosomal RNA (663 nucleotides) under Escherichia coli. Its description in RNAcentral is "partial 23S ribosomal RNA". It matches the Rfam family "Bacterial large subunit ribosomal RNA", at positions 163 to 867 of the family's 2925-position model. Lineage: Bacteria; Pseudomonadati; Pseudomonadota; Gammaproteobacteria; Enterobacterales; Enterobacteriaceae. The record is from RNAcentral.
UCCAUAGGUUAAUGAGGCGAACCGGGGGAACUGAAACAUCUAAGUACCCCGAGGAAAAGAAAUCAACCGAGAUUCCCCCAGUAGCGGCGAGCGAACGGGGAGCAGCCCAGAGCCUGAAUCAGUGUGUGUGUUAGUGGAAGCGUCUGGAAAGGCGCGCGAUACAGGGUGACAGCCCCGUACACAAAAAUGCACAUACUGUGAGCUCGAUGAGUAGGGCGGGACACGUGGUAUCCUGUCUGAAUAUGGGGGGACCAUCCUCCAAGGCUAAAUACUCCUGACUGACCGAUAGUGAACCAGUACCGUGAGGGAAAGGCGAAAAGAACCCCGGCGAGGGGAGUGAAAAAGAACCUGAAACCGUGUACGUACAAGCAGUGGGAGCACGCUUCGGCGUGUGACUGCGUACCUUUUGUAUAAUGGGUCAGCGACUUAUAUUCUGUAGCAAGGUUAACCGAAUAGGGGAGCCGAAGGGAAACCGAGUCUUAACUGGGCGUUAAGUUGCAGGGUAUAGACCCGAAACCCGGUGAUCUAGCCAUGGGCAGGUUGAAGGUUGGGUAACACUAACUGGAGGACCGAACCGACUAAUGUUGAAAAAUUAGCGGAUGACUUGUGGCUGGGGGUGAAAGGCCAAUCAAACCGGGAGAUAGCUGGUUCUCCCCGAAAGCU